AUGUUGGCAUGCCAAGAAUCUAUUCCUUCUGAACCUUUUGCAGCACUACCUGUAAAUCCUGCUGGAGUUCUUCUCUGCACUGAUUGGAGCUUCCAAAUUGGUAAAAGCAACGGAGCCUAUCUGGCGACUGAACCUGUCAGCUAUCCUGGCCUGCUUUGCAUCUUUAAUGUCCACAUAAAAGAUCUCAUUUUCUUAAAAAGUUCACCUUCAUUGCCGACAUGUUUGCAUUAUGCUGUUACAAGAAUGCAUUUGUCACUUUCUAAGAUUGGUACCUGUCCUAAGACCUAUAAACAUGAUAAGGUUGGGGUUACUGCUCCGAGUGACGGUUACCAGCCUUGGUACUGGGUAUGGGAGGGGAAAAGGGCUGGUGGUGGGGAUUAG
RNAcentral lists this ribosomal RNA (381 nucleotides) under Triticum aestivum (bread wheat). RNAcentral's name for it is "partial small subunit ribosomal RNA". The record is from RNAcentral. Lineage: Eukaryota; Viridiplantae; Streptophyta; Magnoliopsida; Poales; Poaceae.